This 479-nucleotide ribosomal RNA is filed under the name Finegoldia magna ALB8. RNAcentral describes it as "bacterial LSU rRNA". It matches the Rfam family "Bacterial large subunit ribosomal RNA", at positions 1 to 511 of the family's 2925-position model. Lineage: Bacteria; Bacillati; Bacillota; Tissierellia; Tissierellales; Peptoniphilaceae. The record is from RNAcentral.
AGUAUAUAUUUCCGGUCAAGAAACUAAGGGCGCAAGGCGGAUGCCUUGGCACCAGGAGGCGACGAAGGACGUGACAAGCAACGAAAACCUCGAGUAGGAGCAAAUAUCCAGUGACUCGGGGGAAUCCGAAUGGGGAAACCUACUAGACACACUCUAGUAUCCAUACGUAAAUACAUAGCGUAUGGAAGCGAAUGUUCUGAACUGAAACAUCUAAGUAGGAACAAGAAAAGAAAGAAAACUCGAUUCUCCAAGUAGCGGCGAGCGAACAGAGACAAGCCCAUUAAAGUAAGACUAAACUGAUAGACAAAUCUUAUGGAAAGAAGAACCAAAGAAAGUAACAGUCUUGUAGUCGAAAUCAGAAUAGAGACACUUUAAGAAGAGUACCACGGAGCACGUGAAAUUCUGUGGGAAGAUAGGGGGACCACCCCCUAAGGCUAAAUACUACCUGGUGACCGAUAGCGAAUAGUACCGUGAGGGAA